CCCUAUGGCCAUACUGCACUGAGUGCACUUGAUUUUCUCUGAUCUCAUAAGCUGAAUAAUUCUGAGCCUCAGUAGUACUUAGCUGAAAAACCACCUGGGAAACAGAUGCUGUAGUCA
Molecule: ribosomal RNA, 117 nt
Filed under: Crocodylus porosus (Australian saltwater crocodile)
Lineage: Eukaryota; Metazoa; Chordata; Crocodylia; Crocodylidae
Source: RNAcentral